GAUGAACGCUGACAGAAUGCUUAACACAUGCAAGUCUUUGGCGAAGCUGUGCUUGCACAGCCUAGCCAAGGCGGACGGGUGAGUAACGCGUAAGGAACUUGCCCUGCAGUCAGGGAUAACAGACGGAAACGACUGAUAAGACCUGGUAAAGUCAGGCGGACUCAUGUCCAGCCUGAUGAAAAGAGAUGCUGCAGGAGAGCCUUGCGUCCUAUUAGCUUGUUGGUGGGGUAACGGCCCACCAAGGCGAUGAUAGGUAGCCGGCCUGAGAGGGUGGACGGCCACAAGGGGACUGAGAUACGGCCCUGACGCCUACGGGAGGCAGCAGUGGAGAAUAUUGGACAAUGGGGGCAACCCUGAUCCAGCAAUUCUGUGUGCACGAUGAAGGUUUUCGGAUUGUAAAGUGCUUUCAGCAGGGAAGAAAAAAAUGACGGUACCUGCAGAAGAAGCGACGGCUAAAUACGUG
RNAcentral lists this ribosomal RNA (463 nucleotides) under uncultured bacterium. RNAcentral describes it as "partial 16S ribosomal RNA". It matches the Rfam family "Bacterial small subunit ribosomal RNA", at positions 28 to 507 of the family's 1533-position model. The record is from RNAcentral.